Molecule: transfer RNA, 74 nt
Filed under: subsurface metagenome
Description: tRNA-Met
Rfam family: tRNA
About the family: Transfer RNA (tRNA) molecules are approximately 80 nucleotides in length. Their secondary structure includes four short double-helical elements and three loops (D, anti-codon, and T loops).
Source: RNAcentral
UGGCAGCGUAGCUCAGUGGUAGAGCAGGGGACUCAUAAGCCCUUGGUCGCAGGUUCAAAUCCCGCCGCUGCCAG